RNAcentral lists this ribosomal RNA (323 nucleotides) under uncultured Bacteroides sp. RNAcentral describes it as "bacterial SSU rRNA". It matches the Rfam family "Bacterial small subunit ribosomal RNA", at positions 28 to 339 of the family's 1533-position model. The record is from RNAcentral. Lineage: Bacteria; Pseudomonadati; Bacteroidota; Bacteroidia; Bacteroidales; Bacteroidaceae.
GAUGAACGCUAGCUACAGGCUUAACACAUGCAAGUCGCGGGGCAUCGCGGGAAGUUAGCAAUACUUUCUGGCGGCGACCGGCGGAUGGGUGAGUAACGCGUAUCCAACCUGGCCCUAUCUCGGGGACAGCCCCUCGAAAGAGGGAUUAAUACCCGAUGUUCCCUGGUUUCCGCAUGUUUACCAGGGCAAAGGCAUUUGUCGGAUAGGGAUGGGGAUGCGUUCCAUUAGGCAGUCGGCGGGGUAACGGCCCACCAAGGCGACGAUGCGUAGGGGUUCUGAGAGGAAGGUCCCCCACACUGGUACUGAGACACGGACCAGACUCC